GAUGAACGCUGGCGGCGUGCCUAAUACAUGCAAGUCGAGCGAACAGACGAGGAGCUUGCUCUUCUGACGUUAGCGGCGGACGGGUGAGUAACACGUGUAUAACCUACCUAUAAGACUGGGAUAACUUCGGGAAACCGGAGCUAAUACCGGAUAAUAUCUUGCACCGCAUGGUUCAAUAGUGAAAGACGGUGUUUCUGUCACUUAUAGAUGGAUCCCCGCUGCAUUAUCUAGUUGGUAAGGUUACGGCCUACCAAGGCGACGAUGCGUUGCCGACCUGAGAGGGGGGUCGGCCACCAUGGAACGUGGCCAGGGACCUGGGUACUAAGGGAGGGACCAGUAGGGAAUGGUCCGCAAUGGGGGGAAACCUUGCGGAAGAACGGCGCGUGAGUGGUGAAAGUCUUCGGAUCGUGAAAACCGGUUACUAGGGAAAAACAAAUGUGGAAGGUAACAUGGACGUCUUGACGGUAACUAAUCAAGAAGCACCGGCUAACUACGUG
RNAcentral lists this ribosomal RNA (497 nucleotides) under uncultured bacterium. Its description in RNAcentral is "partial 16S ribosomal RNA". It matches the Rfam family "Bacterial small subunit ribosomal RNA", at positions 28 to 507 of the family's 1533-position model. The record is from RNAcentral.